RNAcentral lists this transfer RNA (73 nucleotides) under Stegodyphus mimosarum. It matches the Rfam family "tRNA". From Rfam's summary of the family: Transfer RNA (tRNA) molecules are approximately 80 nucleotides in length. The record is from Rfam by way of RNAcentral. Lineage: Eukaryota; Metazoa; Arthropoda; Arachnida; Araneae; Eresidae.
GGUUUCGUGGUGUAGUGGUCAGCAAACUCGACUUGUAACCGAGAGGUCCGUGGUUCGAUUCCCGGCGAAGGCG